This 462-nucleotide ribosomal RNA is filed under the name uncultured bacterium. Its description in RNAcentral is "partial 16S ribosomal RNA". It matches the Rfam family "Bacterial small subunit ribosomal RNA", at positions 28 to 507 of the family's 1533-position model. The record is from RNAcentral.
GACGAACGCUGGCGGCGUGCUUAACACAUGCAAGUCGAACGGUGAAGCCCUUCGGGGUGGAUCAGUGGCGAACGGGUGAGUAACACGUGAGCAACCUGCCCCUGGCUCUGGGACAACCACUGGAAACGGUGGCUAAUACCGGAUACGACCCGCCUCGGCAUCGAGUGUGGGUGGAAAGUUUUUCGGCUGGGGUUGGGCUCGCGGCCUAUCAGCUUGUUGGUGAGGUGAUGGCUCACCAAGGCGACGACGGGUAGCCGGCCUGAGAGGGCGACCGGCCACACUGGGACUGAGACACGGCGCAGACUCCUACGGGAGGCAGCAGUGGGGAAUAUUGCACAAUGGGCGAAAGCCUGAUGCAGCGACGCCGCGUGAGGGAUGACGGCCUUCGGGUUGUAAACCUCUUUCAGCUCCGAAGAAGCGAAAGUGACGGUAGGAGCAGAAGAAGCACCGGCUAACUACGUG